This 434-nucleotide ribosomal RNA is filed under the name uncultured bacterium. Its description in RNAcentral is "bacterial SSU rRNA". It matches the Rfam family "Bacterial small subunit ribosomal RNA", at positions 958 to 1392 of the family's 1533-position model. The record is from RNAcentral.
AACGCGAAGAACCUUACCUGGUCUGACAUAUCUAGAAUCCUGCAGAGAUGCGGGAGUGCCUUCGGGAAUUAGAAUACAGGUGCUGCAUGGCUGUCGUCAGCUCGUGUCGUGAGAUGUUGGGUUAAGUCCCGCAACGAGCGCAACCCUUGUCCUUAGUUACCAGCGGGUUAAGCCGGGAACUCUAAGGAUACUGCCAGUGACAAACUGGAGGAAGGCGGGGACGACGUCAAGUCAUCAUGGCCCUUACGACCAGGGCUACACACGUGCUACAAUGGUAGGUACAGAGGGCAGCUACACAGCGAUGUGAUGCGAAUCUCAAAAAGCCUAUCGUAGUCCAGAUUGGAGUCUGCAACUCGACUCCAUGAAGUAGGAAUCGCUAGUAAUCGCGGAUCAGAAUGCCGCGGUGAAUACGUUCCCGGGUCUUGUACACACCG